GACGAACGCUGGCGGCGUGCCUAAUACAUGCAAGUCGAACGAGAGCGCCCGGUGCUUGCACUGGUCAAUCUAGUGGCGAACGGGUGAGUAACACGUGGGUAACCUGCCCAUCAGAGGGGGAUAACAUUCGGAAACGGAUGCUAAAACCGCAUAGGUCUUCGAACCGCAGGGGUUGAAGAGGAGAAGAGGCGCAAGCUUCUGCUGAUGGGUGGACCCGCGGUGCAUUGGCUAGUUGGUGGGGUAACGGCUCACCAAGGCGGUGAGGCAGAGCCGACCUGUGGGGGUGAUCGGCCACAUGGGGACUGAGACACGGACCAAACUCCUACGGGAGGCAGCAGUAGGCAAUCGUCCGCAAUGGACGCAAGUCUGACGGAGCAACGCCGCGUGAGUGAAGAAGGUGUUCGGAUCGUAAAACUCUGUUGUUAGAGAAGAAUAAGUGCUAGAGUAACUGUUAGCGGCGUGACGGUAUCUAACCAGAAAGCCACGGCUAACUACGUG
Molecule: ribosomal RNA, 498 nt
Filed under: uncultured bacterium
Lineage: Bacteria
Description: partial 16S ribosomal RNA
Rfam family: Bacterial small subunit ribosomal RNA
Source: RNAcentral